UACAGAGGUCUCAAGCGUUGUUCGGAUUCAUUGGGCGUAAAGGGUGCGUAGGCGGCGCGGUAAGUCGGGUGUGAAAUCUCGGGGCUUAACUCCGAAACUGCAUCGAUACUGCCGUGCUUGAGGACUGGAGAGGAGACUGGAAUUACGGUGUAGCGGUGAAAUGCGUAGAUAUCGUAAGGAAGACCAGUGGCGAAGGCGGGUCUCUGGACAGUUCCUGACGCUGAGGCACGAAGGUCAGGGGGAGCAAACGGG
This 252-nucleotide ribosomal RNA is filed under the name uncultured bacterium. RNAcentral describes it as "partial 16S ribosomal RNA". It matches the Rfam family "Bacterial small subunit ribosomal RNA", at positions 524 to 776 of the family's 1533-position model. The record is from RNAcentral.